Molecule: long non-coding RNA, 299 nt
Filed under: Salvia miltiorrhiza (redroot sage)
Lineage: Eukaryota; Viridiplantae; Streptophyta; Magnoliopsida; Lamiales; Lamiaceae
Description: long non-coding RNA (SMIL_LNC003681)
Source: RNAcentral
CAAUAAGUAUUACUAUUUUUAUUAAUGAGAAUUUAUACUUUUAGUUAUUUAAUCAACUAUUAUUGUAAGAAAAAGUAACCAUUGAUAUGAAGCCCAACUCGGUGGCAAAGCUGGCUCUCGGCAGGGCUAUCCUCGGCAGCGCUGCCCUCUGGCAGGGCUCCCGGCAAGGCUGUCCUCGGCAGCACUGCUCUCUGGCAGAGCUGGUAGCGCUGCAUUCUGGCAGAGCUGUCUCUGGUAGCGCUGCACUCUGGCAGGGCUCUCGACAGAGCUGUCUCUGGUUGAACUCUGGCUCUGGCAGG